RNAcentral lists this long non-coding RNA (1687 nucleotides) under Homo sapiens (human). RNAcentral describes it as "HSALNT0017226". The record is from RNAcentral. Lineage: Eukaryota; Metazoa; Chordata; Mammalia; Primates; Hominidae.
AUGGAAACCCAGUGUUUCUCUGCAGAAAGGAGAAAGAAAUUAUUCAGUUCAGUUUAAAGGCUCAGGAGGAAGAGAACAAUUUUUAAUCCCUUUUUUCAGUGCAGGCUGGGGAAGAGGCAUGGUUCUGGAGUCCUGUGAUUGGUUCUGCCCAAGGUUAGUGCUCUGUGGGUGGAUGAGGGGAAGCGGAGAGCAGGAAUGGCAGGAGAGCGGUGAGAGACCUCCGUCCCAGUGAGGAUGACAUGUUCUAACUCAGGAAAUGAAUAGAUGCUCUUGCGAUUGAAGAAAAAUCUACGCUGGAGGCAGACAGGCUGGCAGCCAGCUCUUGCUGAUGGUGAGGAGCCUCAUUAUCUUAAGACAACACACAGUGGAGAUGUGCUUUACGUAAUUGGCCUGCCCUGUGAAAACCCCUGGCUGUUUUUUCAGAUAAGGAGACUGAAGCAUCUAGAGUUGGAGUAAUUUCCACAAGAUCACAGGUUAGUAUGAAAGGUAAGAGAUUAAUGAAGCAUUUAUUCAUCAAUCUUACCUGUAAUAGGUCUAGAUAUGGAAGAGCUAGGAUCUUUAGGCAGAAGAUCUGUGAUAACAAUGAAUUGCUAGCCUACUAUGGGACAGUGAUAUGGAGCAGGGAGUGGGUUAAGUUGCGUGAAUAUUCCCUCAGCACUGCUAGAAGCCACAGAGCCCAGUGAUAUCACUGCCAGACAACUGUGCAGUAGCUAAAACCAUCAAGAAUAGGAAUCUGAGCUUGAGGCCAGCCUGGGCAACAUGCCUAGAAGCCCAUUUCAAAGAAAAAAAGGUAGCCGGGUAUGGUGGUGAGCAACUGCAGACCCAGCUACUCGGGAGGCUGAGGUGGGUGGAUGACUUGAGCCCAGGAGUUCGAGACUGCAGUGAGCUCUGACGACAUCACCGAACUCCAGCCUGGGUGACCGAGCAGACCCGGUCUCAAAUUUAAAAAUAAGGAAAGAGAAAGAAAGAAAGAGAGAGAGAGAGAGAGAGAGAGAGAGACCCGGUCUCAAAUUUAAAAAUAAGGAAAGAGAAAGAAAGAAAGAGAGAGAGAGAGAGAGAGAGAGAGAAAGAAAGAAAGAAAGAAAGAGAGAGAGAGAGAGAGAGAGAGAGAAAGAAAGAAAGAAAGAAAGAAAGAAAGAAAGAAAGAAAGAAAGAAAGAAAGAAAGAAAGAAAGAAAAUAGGAAUCUUAGAGGGAAAGUAAAUUGUGGUAGGGUGGCAGCUUUCUUCUGUCCCACGUGCUGAGCUGAGGUUUAUUUGGGACAUUUGGUAGUGGAACACCUUGUGUUAGGAUUCCAUUGAAAGUUAGUGAAUACUACCAUGUUAGAAUUCCAUGGAAAGUUAAAAUCAGACUAGGAGGCCAAUCUCCCCAGUCAUGCUAUCUAAAAAAGGUCAUCAUCAGCAACACCCACUGAAUGCCAGAGGGGGCUCCUUGGUACCCUGCUUUGGGCUCAGAUAGACUGAGGAGUAUGGGAAGGCAGUUUCUGGUCUGCAUCAUAUUUUCCUCCUGAGGGACCCAGGAACUCUCUUCUGCUAGGCAAAUCCUAAGUAAUCUUUUCAAAAUGAUACAACCCAUGAUAAGUCUUACCCUGGGAUGGCAUAUGACCUACAUUUGAUAGGGGUUAUAAUCUUUCACCUACAAAGCUAUGGACAGCUCCAAAAUGAGUAGUUCCUUUAUAUUGUAAAGAUA